Molecule: ribosomal RNA, 283 nt
Filed under: uncultured bacterium
Lineage: Bacteria
Description: partial 16S ribosomal RNA
Rfam family: Bacterial small subunit ribosomal RNA
Source: RNAcentral
GUGGAUUAGAUACCCUGGUAGUCCGCACUGUAAACGAUGAUUACUCGCUGCUUGGGGGCAACCCUGAGUGGCUUAGCGAAAGCGAUAAGUAAUCCACCUGGGGAGUACGCCGGCAACGGUGAAACUCAAAGGAAUUGACGGGGGCCCGCACAAGCGGAGGAGCAUGUGGUUUAAUUCGAUGAUACGCGAGGAACCUUACCAGGGCUUGAAAGUUAGGGAAUGAUUCUGAAAGGAGUCAGUCAGCAAUGACCCGAAACUAGGUGCUGCAUGGCCGUCGACAACU